UGGAAACCUGAUCUGUGCUUAUGCUGUUAUUCAGAGCUAUGCUUAAACACGGUUUUCUAUAACGAGAAGCAACCGCUCUACUCGUGAGGAAGGCAAAGAUGAUGUCUGUCCAGUAGUUCCUCUGUUCUCAGUUGCUUUUUACUUGAAGCCUGGCUUCUGGCCUGAACCAGAGAAGGAUCCAACAUUCACGCUGCAUGAGCUGCAGUGGGGCCAGCGUCUUCCAGGAGCCAGGCCUGGCAGACAGUGCCUGUCCCACUGGCCCACAGGAGCAGGCAGCUGGGGGCAUGAGGGCAGCCCCAGACACAGGUGUUGGGAAUGUCCCUGGUGAUGGGCUACGUCUGGAC
RNAcentral lists this long non-coding RNA (344 nucleotides) under Gallus gallus (chicken). The record is from RNAcentral. Lineage: Eukaryota; Metazoa; Chordata; Aves; Galliformes; Phasianidae.